CCUACGGGAGGCAGCAGUGGGGAAUCUUGCACAAUGGGCGAAAGCCUGAUGCAGCAACGCCGCGUGCGGGAAGAAGGCCCUAGGGUUGUAAACCGCUUUCAGUAGGGAAGAAAAUGACGGUACCUACAGAAGAAGGUGCGGCCAACUACGUGCCAGCAGCCGCGGUGACACGUAGGCACCAAGCGUUAUCCGGAUUUAUUGGGCGUAAAGAGCUCGUAGGCGGUUCGGUAAGUCGGGUGUGAAAACUCUGGGCUCAACCCAGAGAGGCCACCCGAUACUGCUGUGACUAGAGUGCGGUAGGGGAGCGGGGAAUUCCUGGUGUAGCGGUGAAAUGCGCAGAUAUCAGGAGGAACACCAGCGGCGAAGGCGCCGCUCUGGGCCGUAACUGACGCUGAGGAGCGAAAGCAUGGGUAGCAAACAGGAUUAGAUACCCUGGUAGUCCAUGCCGUAAACGUUGGGCACUAGGUGUGGGUCUCAACCAACGAGAUCCGCGCCGUCGCUAACGCAUUAAGUGCCCCGCCUGGGGAGUACGGUCGCAAGACUAAAACUCAAAUGAAUUGACGG
RNAcentral lists this ribosomal RNA (564 nucleotides) under uncultured bacterium. RNAcentral's name for it is "bacterial SSU rRNA". It matches the Rfam family "Bacterial small subunit ribosomal RNA", at positions 338 to 916 of the family's 1533-position model. The record is from RNAcentral.